Molecule: ribosomal RNA, 253 nt
Filed under: uncultured bacterium
Lineage: Bacteria
Description: partial 16S ribosomal RNA
Rfam family: Bacterial small subunit ribosomal RNA
Source: RNAcentral
UACGGAGGAUGCAAGCGUUAUCCGGAAUGAUUGGGCGUAAAGCGUCCGCAGGUGGCUAUGUAAGUCUGCUGUUAAAGAGUCUAGCUCAACUAGAUAAGAGCAGUGGAAACUACAAGGCUAGAGUACGUUCGGGGCAGAGGGAAUUCCUGGUGUAGCGGUGAAAUGCGUAGAGAUCAGGAAGAACACCAGUGGCGAAGGCGCUCUGCUAGGCCGUAACUGACGCUGAGGAGCGAAAGCGUGGGGAGCGAACAGG